This 504-nucleotide ribosomal RNA is filed under the name uncultured marine eukaryote. RNAcentral's name for it is "SSU rRNA". It matches the Rfam family "Eukaryotic small subunit ribosomal RNA", at positions 619 to 1126 of the family's 1831-position model. The record is from RNAcentral.
UUAAAAAGCUCGUAGUUGGAUUUCUGUUGAGGAUGACCGGUCCGCUCUUUGAGCGCGUAUCUGGUUCAGCCUUGGCAUCCUCUUGGGGAACGCUACUGUGCUUGAUUGCAUGGGGCGGUAUUCAAGACUUUUACUUUGAGGAAAUUAGAGUGUUCACUGCAAGCGUUAGCAAUUGAAUACAUUAGCAUGGAAUAAUAAUAUAGGACCUUGGUACUAUUUUGUUGGUUUCUAGAACUAAGGUAAUGAUUAAUAGGGACAAUUGGGGGCAUUCGUAUUAACGCGUCAGAGGUGGAAUUCUUAGAUUGCGUUACGACGAACUACUGCGAAAGCAUUUGCCAAGGAUGUUUUCAUUGAUCAAGAACGAAAGUAUGGGGAUCGAAGACGCUUAGAUACCGUCGUAGUCUAUACCAUAAACUAUGCCAACUAGAGAUUGGAGGUCGUUCUCUUUAUGACUCCUUCAGCACCUUAUGAGAAAUCAAAGUCUUUGGGUUCCGGGGGGAGUAU